RNAcentral lists this ribosomal RNA (451 nucleotides) under uncultured bacterium. Its description in RNAcentral is "partial 16S ribosomal RNA". It matches the Rfam family "Bacterial small subunit ribosomal RNA", at positions 28 to 523 of the family's 1533-position model. The record is from RNAcentral.
GAUGAACGCUGGCGGCGUGCCUAAUACAUGCAAGUCGAACGAGGUCUUCGGACCUAGUGGCGAACGGGUGAGUAACACGUUGGUACCUACCCCGAAGUGGGGAAUAACUGCCCGAAAGGGUGGCUAAUACCGCAUAAUACCGCAAGGUUAAAGCAGUAAUGCGCUUCGGGAGGGGCCUGCGUCCCAUUAGCUAGUUGGUAGGGUAAUGGCCUACCAAGGCGACGAUGGGUAGCUGGAUCGAGAGGUUAACCAGCCACACUGGGACUGAGAUACGGCCCAGACUCCUACGGGAGGCAGCAGUAAGGAAUCUUCCACAAUGGACGAAAGUCUGAUGGAGCAACGCCGCGUGCAGGAUGACGGCCUUCGGGUUGUAAACUGCUUUUAUACGGGAAGAUUAUGACGGUACCGUAUGAAUAAGGACCGGCUAACUACGUGCCAGCAGCCGCCGUAA